GAUGAAGAACGUAGCGAAAUGCGAUAAGUAAUGUGAAUUGCAGAAUUCAGUGAAUCAUCGAAUCUUUGAACGCACCUUGCGCUCUUUGGCCAUUCCGAAGGGCAUGCCUGUUUGAGUAUCAUGAACACCUCAACUCUUUAUGGUUUUCCAUGAUGAGCUUGGACUCUGGGGGUUUUGCUGGCUCACAGUCGGCUCCUCUAAAAUGAAUCAGCUUACCAGUGUUUGGUGGGUAUCAUGGGUGUGAUAACUAUCUACGCUUGUGGUUUUUCCACCAGGUAACCUUCAGCAGUGGAGGUUCGCUGGAGCUCAUAGAUGUCUCUCCUCAGUGAGGACAGCCCUUUGAAUGUUUGAUCUCAAAGCAGGUAGGACUACCCGCUGAACUUAAGCAUAUCAAUAAGCGGAGGA
This 405-nucleotide unclassified non-coding RNA is filed under the name soil metagenome. Its description in RNAcentral is "partial contains 5.8S ribosomal RNA, internal transcribed spacer 2, and large subunit ribosomal RNA". The stretch from base 1 to 121 matches the Rfam family "5.8S ribosomal RNA", at positions 35 to 154 of the family's 154-position model. The record is from RNAcentral.